GCCGAAAUACCUCAUUUGGGAGAGCGUUAGACUGAAGAUCUAAAGGUCCAUGGUUCUUUCCCGGGUUUUGGCA
Molecule: non-coding RNA, 73 nt
Organism: Salmo salar (Atlantic salmon)
Lineage: Eukaryota; Metazoa; Chordata; Actinopteri; Salmoniformes; Salmonidae
Source: Rfam